AUAAUGGGUCAGCGACUUAUAUUCUGUAGCAAGGUUAACCGAAUAGGGGAGCCGAAGGGAAACCGAGUCUUAACUGGGCGUUAAGUUGCAGGGUAUAGACCCGAAACCCGGUGAUCUAGCCAUGGGCAGGUUGAAGGUUGGGUAACACUAACUGGAGGACCGAACCGACUAAUGUUGAAAAAUUAGCGGAUGACUUGUGGCUGGGGGUGAAAGGCCAAUCAAACCGGGAGAUAGCUGGUUCUCCCCGAAAGCUAUUUAGGUAGCGCCUCGUGAAUUCAUCUCCGGGGGUAGAGCACUGUUUCGGCAAGGGGGUCAUCCCGACUUACCAACCCGAUGCAAACUGCGAAUACCGGAGAAUGUUAUCACGGGAGACACACGGCGGGUGCUAACGUCCGUCGUGAAGAGGGAAACAACCCAGACCGCCAGCUAAGGUCCCAAAGUCAUGGUUAAGUGGGAAACGAUGUGGGAAGGCCCAGACAGCCAGGAUGUUGGCUUAGAAGCAGCCAUCAUUUAAAGAAAG
Molecule: ribosomal RNA, 520 nt
Filed under: Escherichia coli
Lineage: Bacteria; Pseudomonadati; Pseudomonadota; Gammaproteobacteria; Enterobacterales; Enterobacteriaceae
Description: partial 23S ribosomal RNA
Rfam family: Bacterial large subunit ribosomal RNA
Source: RNAcentral